GCGCGCCUACAACUCCCAUCAUGCUACGCCGGGAACUGCACGGCUCCUCGCAGGAAAUAGGCAGCUCACCCUGCCACUUGUGCACACAUUUUUCUUCAAUGUAUAGUUCCUCGGCGCGCCUCUGGCCGUUUCCCGGAGCUCUUCAAUCCCAGAAGCUACAGCACAACGGCUGAAUAGCCAAGACCCCUGGGGAGGCGUGGCUUCAGCCGGAAGACGCUCCUGUUGCCAAGGGAACGGUGCCUGCCAAGGCGCCUGCUCAGCGACUGAUGCACAGGCUGCUGCAGAGGCUACCGGUUUUCCCAACUUGUAGAGACGGCUUUGCUCAUUACCAGGCAUCCUUCCCAUGUAGGCGUAGAGAAGAAGGCUGAAGGACCCUCGCACCAGAUUUCCAUCCCAGAGACCGAUACGAGUGGGUCCAUUCCUGUUACCAGCUCCUGCGCCUUCCGGACUAACCUCAAAAACCAGCUGGUUUGUAAAUAUUUGAGUCACAUUAUGGGAUUGCUAGACAGACUUUCAGUCUUGCUUGGCCUGAAGAAGAAAGAGGUUCAUGUUUUGUGCCUUGGGCUAGAUAAUAGUGGCAAAACGACUAUCAUUAACAAACUUAAACCUUCAAAUGCUCAAUCUCAAAAUAUCCUUCCAACAAUAGGAUUCAGCAUAGAGAAAUUCAAAUCAUCCAGUUUAUCAUUUACAGUUUUUGACAUGUCAGGUCAAGGAAGAUACAGAAAUCUCUGGGAACACUAUUAUAAAGAAGGUCAAGCUAUUAUUUUUGUCGUUGAUAGUAGUGAUAGAUUAAGAAUGGUUGUGGCCAAAGAAGAACUCGAUACUCUUCUGAAUCAUCCAGAUAUCAAACACCGUCGAAUUCCAAUCUUAUUCUUUGCAAAUAAAAUGGAUCUUAGAGAUGCAGUGACAUCUGUAAAAGUGUCUCAGUUGCUGUGUUUAGAGAACAUCAAAGAUAAACCCUGGCAUAUUUGUGCUAGUGAUGCCAUAAAAGGAGAAGGAUUGCAAGAAGGUGUAGACUGGCUUCAAGAUCAGAUCCAGACUGUGAAGACAUGAAAAGAUAAUAGUUGGAAACCUCUGCAAUUUUCAAUUCAAGGAAUCUAUCUAAGGCAAACAGAAUACUUUACAUUUUGUAAAAGAUGUAUAUGCAUCAAAAAAUAUAAUUUUCUGCUUGCAUUUAUGGACUCUGAAUGACUUUUUUAAGAACAUGGGACUUCAGUGGAUACAGAAUGAAAAUCUCAUUAAUCUAAAGUUGCUGCAGAUAUGGAAAGGACAUAAUGAUGGAAACAAUGAAUGUAAUUUUUUAAAAACUGAUAUGCUACAACUAUUUUAGGAUGGAGAAAGAACUGAUUGAGAAUUCAAAUCCUCGCUCACUUAUCGUAAGGUAAUAAUAAAAUUGGUAAGAGUUACUACUAUACGAUCUUAUAAGCAGGUAUUACACAUACAGAAUUUUCAUCAUUUAAUCCUCCCAAUAAGCCUAUGUGGUAGGUGUUAUUAUUUCUAUUUGAUAGAUCAGUAAACUGAGGCCUUAAAAUGUUAUGUGAAUUGCCAAAGUUCAGAGAGCUAGUAAGUCUGGUACUAGGAUUCAGUACCAAGCAGUCUGUUGAAGAGCGAUGAUUCAAGAGUAUGGUAGAUAUUAGAAAUACAGAUAUAUCUACCAGAAUAACAACUAAAAUGAUAGAAAAGCCUCUUUCUUGGGACAGCAACCAGGACAGGGAUGGUAGAGGGAAGGUCAGAGACUAGAGACUACUCUUUGUUUUUUUUUGAAAAAGCUAUUAACACUACUCAAAUUUUAAACUCUGGACAUAAAUGACUUUGAUAAAAGUUCUUAAAACUAUUUUAACAUUAAAUUAUUUGGUAUUCCACAAACUACAGUAGCUCAUACCUAUGCAAAUAUUUAGAAGAAGAAGUACCCUUUUUCUUUGUUUUCAUGAUCUCCAAAAUCUAGUUUUUAGUCUAUAAACAUCCAUCCCUACUCCACAUUUUCAUGUAAAGAUUAUGUAGAAAUAAGUUGGGCAACAGUGUAGUCACAGGAUGCCAUAUAAGUGUGAAUAAGCUGAGAUUAUUGCAUUUGUAUUUAGCAUAUUAUACAAUUAAAAUGUAUUUUAUUAAAGCUGAAGCAAGUUGGUUUUCAUGUCUAGACAUCACUGUGUUACAAAGUUUAAUUCAUUAAGCUCUGUAUUUGACUAUAACACCUUGUAAAAUGUUUGAAACUUAUCCUCUUGUGUGCUUUGCAUUUAAAUAUUUGUAUAUGGCCCUGUUCAGCCUGUGCUUUGUAAGUCACAAAAGGGCUGGGUUUUAUAUGUUUGUUUUUUAUUUCUAAGCUCUCUGUGAAAAAGUUAAAUAUUGUCUCCUGGUUGUUUAAGAUAUUUUUUCUUUGUAAUUUUUUAUAUCAUGUUGUGAUUUUCAUAAACAUGUGCAGUUACUCUUG
Piliocolobus tephrosceles (Ugandan red Colobus) is the source of this 2428-nucleotide RNA transcript. It is a transcript of the gene named ARF like GTPase 6, with no coding region annotated. The transcript has 9 exons. NCBI's taxonomy places the organism in Eukaryota, Metazoa, Chordata, Mammalia, Primates, Cercopithecidae. The record is from RefSeq and is a predicted model, not a curated record.